ACUCGAGUUUAUUGGACAAGAAAUCUUGUUUGCACUACCCACCAGUCAAUUGCCAUUAGUCGCGGCCCGACACAAGUUGCCGAAACUUCUUUUGGCCUAGAAAAGUUGAAACUUUUUGCUUCAAUAAGCGGA
Non-coding RNA from Caenorhabditis elegans, 132 nucleotides. The record is from Ensembl. Lineage: Eukaryota; Metazoa; Nematoda; Chromadorea; Rhabditida; Rhabditidae.